GACGAACGCUGGCGGCGUGCUUAACACAUGCAAGUCGAACGGAAAGGCCCUGCUUGCAGGGUACUCGAGUGGCGAACGGGUGAGUAACACGUGGGUGAUCUGCCCUGCACUUCGGGAUAAGCCUGGGAAACUGGGUCUAAUACCGGAUAUGACCUUCCAUGUAGUGUGGGGGGUGGAAAGAUUUAUCGGUGUGGGAUGAGCCCGCGGCCUAUCAGCUUGUUGGUGGGGUAAUGGCCUACCAAGGCGUCGACGGGUAGCCGGCCUGAGAGGGUGGACGGCCACAUUGGGACUGAGAUACGGCCCAGACUCCUACGGGAGGCAGCAGUGGGGAAUAUUGCACAAUGGGCGGAAGCCUGAUGCAGCGACGCCGCGUGGGGGAUGACGGCCUUCGGGUUGUAAACCUCUUUCGACAGGGACGAAGCUUCGGUGACGGUACCUGUAUAAGGAGCACCGGCUAACUACGUG
Molecule: ribosomal RNA, 465 nt
Filed under: uncultured bacterium
Lineage: Bacteria
Description: partial 16S ribosomal RNA
Rfam family: Bacterial small subunit ribosomal RNA
Source: RNAcentral